UGGCUCAGUUGGUAGAGCAUGGUGUUUGCCACGCCAGGGUUGUGGGUUCGAUUCCCAC
Non-coding RNA from Salmo salar (Atlantic salmon), 58 nucleotides. Lineage: Eukaryota; Metazoa; Chordata; Actinopteri; Salmoniformes; Salmonidae. The record is from Rfam.